UACGGGGGGGGCAAGCGUUGUUCGGAAUUACUGGGCGUAAAGGGCUCGUAGGUGGCCAACUAAGUCACACGUGAAAUCCCUCGGCUUAACCGGGGAACUGCGUGUGAUACUGGAUGGCUUGAGUUUGGGAGAGGGAUGCGGAAUUCCAGGUGUAGCGGUGAAAUGCGUAGAUAUCUGGAGGAACACCGGUGGCGAAGGCGGCAUCCUGGACCAACACUGACGCUGAGGAGCGAAAGCCAGGGGAGCAAACGGG
RNAcentral lists this ribosomal RNA (253 nucleotides) under uncultured bacterium. RNAcentral describes it as "partial 16S ribosomal RNA". It matches the Rfam family "Bacterial small subunit ribosomal RNA", at positions 524 to 776 of the family's 1533-position model. The record is from RNAcentral.